RNAcentral lists this ribosomal RNA (414 nucleotides) under uncultured microorganism. RNAcentral describes it as "bacterial SSU rRNA". It matches the Rfam family "Archaeal small subunit ribosomal RNA", at positions 330 to 745 of the family's 1478-position model. The record is from RNAcentral.
GUGCACCAGGCGAGAAACCUCCGCAAUACACGAAAGUGUGACGGGGCCAUCCCGAGUGCCGUCCGCUGAGGACGGCUUUUCCCCAGUGUACAUAGCUGGGGGAAUAAGGAGAGGGCAAGCCUGGUGUCAGCCGCCGCGGUAAUACCAGCUCUCCGAGUGGUGGGGACGCUUAUUGGGCCUAAAGCAUCCGUAGCCGGCUGGGUAAGUUCCUUGGGAAAUUUGGCUGCUUAACAGUCAAGCUUUCAGGGAAUACUGCUCGGCUUGGGACCGGGAGAGGUCAGAGGUACUCCAGGGGUAGGGGUGAAAUCCAUUAAUCCUUGGGGGACCACCGGUAGCGAAGGCGUCUGACCAGACCGGGUCCGACGGUGAGGGACGAAGGCUAGGGGCGCGAACCGGAUUAGAUACCCCUGUAGU